UGCUUCAUUUUGAACAGUCGGUGAAAGCAAUAAUGGUGGCCUCUGAAUCGUCUACUUUUUGAAUGAUUGAAAGACAGUUCACCGAAAGUGCUGAGAAAUUUCCUCUGUGCUAGCUUUUUACUUUUGACUACUUUCCUGGAAAAUGUAUGCAUAGUUUUUUACUUGGUGUUCUUUCAUUCUGGUGAAGAAUAUAAGUUUAUUCAAAAUAGAUGAGCUAAGUUGCUGAGGGCAGAAAGAGAGCUGAAAAACUGAUUGGGAAGUGUCUAUUGAUAUAUUUACUCGUCCAAGUUCUAACCAGGCUAUAAUAUGGCUGCUGCUUCUUCUUGCUCUGCUAUCAUCCCUCGGAAGAAAUAUGAUGUAUUUCUUAGUUUCAGAGGCGAGGACACCCGGUAUGCUUUUACCAGCCAUCUUUAUGAGGCUUUACUUCGGGCCAAAAUCCAAACUUACAUAGAUAACAAAUUGGAGAGAGGAGAUGAAAUCGCACCUGCCCUUCUCAAAGAAAUCAGUGAAUCGAAGCUUUCGGUUAUCAUUUUCUCCAAAAACUAUGCUUCUUCUGCAUGGUGCUUGGAUGAACUUGUGCACAUACUCGAAUGUAGAGAUCUCUAUAAACAGUUUGUUAUACCCAUCUUCUACGGCGUAGAUCCAUCAGAUGUACGCAAACAAUGUGGGAGUUAUGCAGAUGCAUUUGUUGAACAUGAGAAACGUUUCAAGGACCCAAUGAACAAGGUGCUCAGGUGGAGAAAUGCUUUGACAACAGCAGCCAAUAUAUCUGGGUUUGAUUCCCAAACAAUUAGGCCCGAGUCUGAAUUAGUUAAGAGGGUGGUCAAUGACAUUUUGGCGAAAUUGGAUGGCAAAUCGCAAAACGCAGGUGGUUUGGAGCGCUGGGUUGGAAUGGACAAACACAUAAUUCAACUUGUUGAGUUAUUAUGCCUCAACUCACGGGAUGUCCACAUUGUAGGCAUUUGGGGUAUGGGUGGUAUCGGUAAGACCACCAUUGCUGAUGCUGUAUAUCACCGUCUCUCUUUUGAAUUCGAAGCUUGCUGCUUUAUUAAAGAUGUUAGGGAAAAAGCAUCAGAGACGAAACAUGGACUACCAUAUGAUUUGCGAAAUGAUCUUUUUCGUACUCUACUAAAGGAUGAAAAAAUACGCGCAGACACCCCCUCUAUCGGAUCAACUUUUAUGAGAGACAGGCUUGGCAGUACAAAGGCUCUCAUUGUUCUUGAUGAUGUGAGUGAGUUUUCCCAAUUAGAAUUUUUUGCUGGAGGCGAUUUCAAUCUGUUUGGCCCUGGAAGUAGAAUCCUUGUAACAACCAGAAAUAAACGCAUAUUUCGGAACGGUGAUGAGAUAUAUGAGGUUGAGGAAUUAGACGUCGAUGAAGCUCUUGAGCUCUUUUAUUCGAGAGCUUUUAGAAAUAAGUCUCCCCCGGGUGAUUAUACAACUUUUGCAAAAGAGGUGGUAGAUUAUGCUGGAGGCAAUCCAUUGGCUCUUACAAUCUUGGGCUCCGUAUUCUGUCAUUGCAAGAGCAAAGAAGACUGGGAAGGUGAAUUAGAUAAAUUGAAAAAAUUUCCCGACAAAGGAAUCCAUAAGGUAUUGAGGUUAAGUUAUGAUGGCUUAGGAGAAAAUGAGAAGGAGAUAUUUCUCGAUAUCGCUUGUUGUCACAAAGGAAAGCAUAUUGAUGAGGCAAAAAGAAUUUUAAAUGCCUGUGGUUUUUCUGCCAAUGCGGGAGUGAGACUUCUCAUUGAUAUGUCUCUCAUAUCCGUGGAUCUUCGUUCAAGACUUGUUGAGAUGCAUGAUUUGAUACAAGAAAUGGGUCGGGAAAUUGUUCGUGAUCAAUGUGUUAAAAAUCCUGAAAAACGCAGUAGAUUGUGGCAUGCAAAUGAUGUUUGUCAUGUACUGACAAAUAACACGGGUACUGAAGACAUUGAGUGCAUGGCCAUGAAUAUGGAUCUCAUUAAAGAUUUUUAUGUGAAUGUUGCAUCCUUCGAAAAGAUGCAUAAGCUAAGAUUACUAGAUCUAUGCUCGUACACCAGGGGUGUCAACAAAUUGCACCUUCCUCCAGGUUUCGAGUUUCUCCCUGAGGCCCUUAUAUAUCUGAGGUGGCAUUUCUAUCCCUUGACAUCUCUGCCAUCGAGGUUUUCUCCAGAAAACCUUGUCGAGCUUCAUAUGCCCAACAGCCGACUUGAGCAACUUUGGAAUAAAGGCGUGCAGAUCAAUCUUGGGAGCAUAAAACGUAUCGAUCUUAGUCGCUCCGAGCACCUGGCUGAUGUUUCAGCUCUGAUUGAGAGUCCAAAUCUCGAGAGCAUUGACCUUUGGGGUUGUAAAAGUUUGGUUCAACUUCCUUCAUCGUUUCAGAAUCUUGCCAAGCUUACUUCUCUUAGUCUGGAUGGUUGCUCCAAUCUCAAAAUUCUCCCAGAGAUGCCAGGCAAUCUGGAAGUCUUAUGGUUGAAUGGGACUGCAAUAGAAGAAUUGCCUUCAUCAAUUUGGUCUCUCGAGAAGCUUCAUCUUUUGGAUCUUCAUAUAUGUAAAGAGCUUAAGAAUCUUCCAAGCAGCACUUGUAGGUUGAAUUCGCUCCCAAAUCUUCAUCUAGCUGGCUGCCGCUCUCUUGAGUCUUUGCCUGUCGAGCUACCUUCUGGGCUGAAGAGACUGCAGUUGACAAAUUGCAAGAGUCUUGGGUCUUUGCCUGUCGAGCUACCUUCUGGGCUGGAGUACCUGGAGUUGAGCGAUUGUGAGAGUCUUGGGUCUUUGCCUGCCCAGCUACCUUCUGGGCUGAAGGAAUUGGACUUGAGAAAUUGCAAGAGUCUUGGGUCUUUGCCUGUCGAGCUACCUUCUGGGCUGGAGUACCUGGACUUGAGCGAUUGUGAGAGUCUUGGGUCUUUGCCUGUCGAGCUACCUUCUGGGCUGAAGACACUGGAGUUGGUCUCUUGCAAGAGUCUUGGGUCUUUGCCUGUCGAGCUACCUUCUGGGCUGGAGUACCUGGACUUGAGCGAUUGUGAGAGUCUUGGGUCUUUGCCUGUCGAGCUACCUUCUGGGCUGGAGUACCUGGACUUGAGCGAUUGUGAGAGUCUUGGGUCUUUGCCUGUCGAGCUACCUUCUGGGCUGAAGGAACUGAAGUUGAGAAAUUGCAAGAGUCUUGGGUCUUUGCCUGUCGAGCUACCUUCUGGGCUGAAGUACCUGGACUUGAGCUAUUGCAAGAGUCUUGGGUCUUUGCCUGUCGAGCUACCUUCUGGGCUGAAGGAACUGAAGUUGAGAAAUUGCAAGAGUCUUGGGUCUUUACCGAAGCUGCCCUGGCUUCUAGAACUGGUUAAUGCACAUGGCUGCACGUCACUAGAGACAGUCUCAAGUCCGAUGAGGACUGCACCCAUACAAGUCACAAGCGACAGGCUUGAGAUCGUUGGAAGGAAUCAAAGCCGACUCACCGGAAAGGUGUUUGACGUAACACCUGAGAUAACGGAGUUAAGGAGAAAUAAGAGUGAGGAGGCCAGCUGUAAAGUCUGACUCUGGCUCUGCUGCGACUUUGACAAGGGUGCCAACUUAAUCCCAUUCCAGAAGUACACUGGGAUCAAAUUGCCAAGCACCAAACAAUCCUGGUUUAACACAAGUCUGAACCUCAAGGAAUGUGAGAUGUUGUGUAUGAAGAACUGCUCCUGUACAGCUUAUGCAAAUUCCAAUAUCAGGGAAGGAAGAAGUGGGUGCUUGCUGUGGUUAGGUGAUCUGAUUGACGUAAGAAAUUUAACUAAGAAAGAGAAUGGGCAAGAUAUCCAUAUAAGAUUAGCUGCAUCAGAGCAAGAUAAUGAAGAGACUAGUACCAGAAUCAAUGCUAAACCUGCUAAAUCCAAUGUGAAGAAAGUGAGAAUGAUAGCUAGCACUCUUGUUUUAUCUACUGGGCGUAGCUCUGCUCUUUUAUGUUUGGAAGAAAGAUGCAGGAAAACUGAGCCGCAGCCACAAGGAAAAUCUGGAAUUACCAUUGUUUGACUUGGCAACUGUUGUUAAUGUAAUAAACUAGGAGAAGGUGGCUUCGGAUCUGUCUUUAAGGGUAUGAUGGAAGAUGGACGAGAAAUAGCAGUGAAAAGGCUCGCAAGACACUCUAUGCAAGGAAUUAAUGAGUUCAAAAAUGAGGUUGUACAUAUUGCCAAACUUCAGCACAGGAAUCUAGCGAAGCUUCUAAGGUGCUGCUUUCAACAAGAUGAAAUGAUACUGAUCUACAAAUGCAUUCCCAACAAAAGGUUGGACUUCUUUAUUUUCGGUAUCACUGACAACUUUAUAUUUGGUUUUAUUGGUCCAUAUGGUUACGUGUCCCCAGAAUACACAAUUGAUGGGUUCUACUCGAUAAAAUCCAAUGUCUACAGCUAUGGAGUUUUGGUGUUAGAGAUAGAGAGUGGGAAGAGAAACCGAGGAUUCUCACAUCCAGGCCACAAUCGCAACCUUUUUGGACAUGUGAGCUACAACUGUCAACUUGAAAGAAAUGUAUUGCUGCUUGAUUCUUCUUCUUCUUCUAUAUAUUCAGUAAAAGUGAAUGUUUUCUUCUUUCAAGCAUGGAAGCUGUUCAUAGAAGGCAUGUCCAUCGAACUUCUUGAUCCAUCGGUAGAGGACUCUAUCACUCUACAUGAAGUUGUGCGACCGAUUCAUGUAGGUCUUUUAUGUGUGCAACAAAAACCACAAGAUAGGCCGAGUAUGCCAGCUGCUGUUCUAAUAUUGAGUGGUGAAGGUGCAUUGCCUCAACCUCAGAAGCCUGGAAUUUGACAGAACUUGAAGAUUCUACAGAUGACGCUACAGAAUGUUCAGCUAAUGAACUCACUGUUACGCUAGUGAGGGCUCAAUGAAUGUUGAUAUCAUGUUGAGUAUUCUCUGCCCUUCAUCCCCUUGCUUUCCUCUGAUAUGAGUUGGGGCUCAUUUGAAAGAUGAGUUACAAGCACAAACUUUUGUUAACACUUUAGGCCUAGUUAAUUAUCAACUUCUCAUUGGCACCAAUUUGAGUCUGAAUUAACCACUGGGUUGAACCAGCUAACUCUUAGUAAAUGACUCUGUAAAACUGUAUAUGGAUGCCUUACCAGCCAUUUCAAUUGAAACUUCGACUGCUACUCUUAUAUCCCAAAAGCUACACUUACUACAAUGCAUUUUCUACAA
Molecule: RNA transcript, 5124 nt
Organism: Rosa rugosa (rugosa rose)
Lineage: Eukaryota; Viridiplantae; Streptophyta; Magnoliopsida; Rosales; Rosaceae
Gene name: disease resistance protein RPV1-like
Exons: 11
Source: RefSeq, a predicted model, not a curated record